AGUGAACGCUGGCGGUAGGCCUAACACAUGCAAGUCGAACGGCAGCACAGUAAGAGCUUGCUCUUACGGGUGGCGAGUGGCGGACGGGUGAGGAAUACAUCGGAAUCUACUUUUUCGUGGGGGAUAACGUAGGGAAACUUACGCUAAUACCGCAUACGACCUACGGGUGAAAGCAGGGGAUCUUCGGACCUUGCGCGAUUGAAUGAGCCGAUGUCGGAUUAGCUAGUUGGCGGGGUAAAGGCCCACCAAGGCGACGAUCCGUAGCUGGUCUGAGAGGAUGAUCAGCCACACGGGAACUGGGACACGGUCCAGACUCCUACGGGAGGCAGCGGUGGGGAAUAUUGGACAAGGGGCGCAAGCCUGAUCCAGCCAUACCGCGUGGGUGAAGAAGGCCUUCGGGUUGUAAAGCCCUUUUGUUGGGAAAAAAAAGCAGCAGGUUAAUACCCCGCUGUUCUGACGGUACCCAAAGAAUAAGCACCGGCUAACUUCGUG
This 492-nucleotide ribosomal RNA is filed under the name uncultured bacterium. RNAcentral's name for it is "partial 16S ribosomal RNA". It matches the Rfam family "Bacterial small subunit ribosomal RNA", at positions 29 to 507 of the family's 1533-position model. The record is from RNAcentral.